UCUCCCAUAGCUCAGUUGGCUAGAGCGUCUGACUGUUAUAGGGUCGUUUCCCUGGUUUCCCAGGAGCGUGUCCACCAACGGUCAUCAGGAGGUCGUAAGUUCGAGCCUUACUGGGAGAG
This is a non-coding RNA of Hirsutella rhossiliensis, 119 nucleotides long. The record is from the annotation of a RefSeq genome assembly. NCBI's taxonomy places the organism in Eukaryota, Fungi, Ascomycota, Sordariomycetes, Hypocreales, Ophiocordycipitaceae.